Molecule: long non-coding RNA, 594 nt
Organism: Gossypium arboreum
Lineage: Eukaryota; Viridiplantae; Streptophyta; Magnoliopsida; Malvales; Malvaceae
Exons: 2
Source: RefSeq, a predicted model, not a curated record
UUAAAGUUUAACAUCUGUAUAAAUUGAUGAUUGGUAUUAUAUAUAUAUGUUCUAUUGUUGGAAUUGAAUUAUUGUUGGAAAUAUAUUAUUGAAUUUAAUACUCAGUUUGAAUUGAACGCGAGAUUUGAAUACAUUCAUGAUUUGGUGUAUGGCGGGGGUUUAGAGUAGAGAUGGUACUGGAGGGAGAUAUCAUCAUUUUACUCAAGUAAACCGGGGUUUAGCAUUUGUUGCGAACUAUCGCGUUUUACCUUCUAUUUGGCAUGGUUGGGUGGAUCAGCUCUCAUGAGCUUCUGUUCAGCUCUUAUGAGCUUCUGUUGGCGAUGUACUCUUACCCAUUUUCAAAAGGUUGGAUGAUCGGAUCGACACUCAAGUUACACUAUCCAGUCUAUCUCGGUAGUUUUUGAAACGUUUAAUUCGGACUAUAUGGCAUGCAUAGGCUCUUGUGCUAUUUUGGUUAAUGUUUGGUUUAUGUUAAUGUUAUGGAUGAUAUUUUGAGCAAAUAACCAAUUUGCAAAUGGUAUGAGAAUGAGGUAUAAUUGUUACGUUAUAUGUGUGGCUUAUAUAUAUUUGAAUUGUUGUAACUUUGUAGGUAAA